AUGGCAUGAUGUGGACAUUUUCUGAUGAGGUCCUUCAAUCUUUCCCAUGACUCAUUGAACUGCUCACCAUCUUGUUGUGAGAAAGUAGUGAGAGCUCGCCUU
RNAcentral lists this small nucleolar RNA (102 nucleotides) under Cephalotus follicularis. Its description in RNAcentral is "Plant small nucleolar RNA R71". It matches the Rfam family "Plant small nucleolar RNA R71". From Rfam's summary of the family: R71 is a member of the C/D box family of snoRNAs containing the C (UGAUGA) and D (CUGA) box motifs. Multiple nearly identical copies of this snoRNA have been identified in Arabidopsis, and it is thought to function as a 2'-O-ribose methylation guide for 18S ribosomal RNA. The record is from Rfam by way of RNAcentral. Lineage: Eukaryota; Viridiplantae; Streptophyta; Magnoliopsida; Oxalidales; Cephalotaceae.